UCCUGACACAGGGAGGUAGUGACAAGAAAUAACAAUACAGGGCUACUUCUAGUCUUGUAAUUGGAAUGAGUACAACUUACAUCUCUUCACGAGGAUCAAUUGGAGGGCAAGUCUGGUGCCAGCAGCCGCGGUAAUUCCAGCUCCAAUAGCGUAUAUUAAAGUUGUUGCAGUUAAAAAGCUCGUAGUCGGAUUUCGGGUCGGGCCGAGCGGUCUGCCGAUGGGUAUGCACUGUUCGGCGCGGCCUUCUUUCCGGAGACCGCGGCUACUCUUAACUGAGCGGGCGUGGGAGACGGAUCGUUUACUUUGAAAAAAUCAGAGUGUUUCAAGCAGGCAGCUCGCUCUUGCAUGGAUUAGCAUGGGAUAAUGAAAUAGGACUCUGGUGCUAUUUUGUUGGUUUCGAACACCGGAGUAAUGAUUAACAGGGACAGUCA
Molecule: ribosomal RNA, 431 nt
Filed under: Phaeocystis sp. JD-2012
Lineage: Eukaryota; Haptophyta; Phaeocystales; Phaeocystaceae
Description: SSU rRNA
Rfam family: Eukaryotic small subunit ribosomal RNA
Source: RNAcentral